AUGGACAUUGCUCAGGAGGGUGAGAGGGAUCAUGUCCAAGACCAUGACCAUGUUAUCGUGGUCGCCGGAGAUCAAGGGGAAGGAGAAGGCGAAGAGACGACGAUGGAUGGGUCGGUGGAUUGGAACGGCAGCCCGUGCCUGAGAGCCAAAUCUGGUGGAUGGCCUGCCGGACUCCUCAUCCUGCUCAACCAGGCGCUUGCGACGAUGGCGGUGAACGGCGUGAGCAUCAACCUGGUGACCUUCAUGAGGGUGGUGAUGCAGCUGGACAACGCCAACGCCGCCAAGCAUGUGAGCAACUGGUCCGGCACCACCUACGUCUUCUCCAUCGUCGGCGCCAUCAUCGCCGACUCCUACUGGGGAAGAUACAAGUCCUGCAUCAUCUUCCAGCUCAUCUUCCUCGCCGGACUGGUGGAGCUCGCCAUAUCCUCCUAUUUCUUCCUGCACAACUUCAGCUGCGAGUCGGAAUCGGGUGACACCAAGACCUGCAGGACACCAACGGCAGCCGAGAUAGCGAUAUUCUAUGUGGCCAUAUACAAGAUCGCACUCGGGAACGGAGCCUACCAGCCCACCAACACGACGUUCGGCGCCGACCAGUUCGACGAGGAGCACACCAAGGAGAAGAGGUCCAAGACGGCCUUCUACGGCUACUUCUUCGUGGCCAACAACCUGGGCAGCCUGGUGGCCGUCACUUUUCUCACCUACAUCGAGGACCAGGGGAGAUGGGCGGCCGCCUUCGUGAUCUCAGCGGCGGCGGCUCUUCUCGGCCUCCUCCUGUUCGCCGCCGGGACCAAGAGGUUCAGGCACUUCAUGCCCUGCGGGAACCCUGCCGCCACCGUGGGAAAUGUCUUGGUUGCUGCAACGAAGAAGAGGCACCUCACCGUCCCAACCCAAGUGGAAAAACUGUAUGAGGUGGAUGGAACUCACAGUGUUAAUGGGGGCAAGAAGAUUGCACACACACCAGGAUACAGGUUUUUGGACAAGGCGGCGGUGAUCGAGGACCCAUCCAUCCUUCUACCGGGCGAGCAGCCAGCAUCCAGGCCGCGGCGGCUCUACACAGUCACUCAAGUGGAGCAAGUGAAAUGCAUCCUUCAACUCAUUCCAAUAUGGCUAUGCAGCAUCAUCUACUCCACCACAUACUCGCAGAUGUCCUCGGUGUUCAUCGAGCAAGCACAGGCCAUGGACAACACCAUCAACAAAUUCACGAUCCCCGCCGCAGGCAUCGGCAUCUUCGAGAUCAUCGGCGUAACAUCAUUCGUCUUCAUCUACACAUUCUGCAUCGCCAAACCCCUGUCGAAGAGAUCAAAGGAGCCAACCGAGCUCCAGAGGAUGGGCAUCGGGCUCGUCAUAUCAACCACAGCGAUGAUCGCGGCGGCGCUGGUGGAGCGGCAGAGGCUGAAGCACGCGGACCGGUACCGCCUGAGCGUCCUCUGGCAGAUCCCCCAGUACCUGCUGAUCGGGGCGUCGGAGGUGUUCAUGUACGUGACCAUGACGGAGUUCUUCAACGACCAGCUCCCGGACGGCAUGAGGAGCCUCGGCAGCGCAAUGUCCGGGGCGUCCAUGUCGGCCGGGAGCUACGCGAACAGCCUGAUCGUGUCGCUGGUCAUGGCGGGCAGCCGCAGCGGGGGCCAAGCCGGGUGGAUACCGCAGAACCUCAACCAGGGCCAUGUGGACAGGUUCUUCUUCCUCAUCGCCGCGCUCAACGCGGCCGACCUGGUGCUCUUCGUGCUGCUCGCCAAGAGGUACAAGGCGGUGGCGAAACCUGCGGCGGCAGUGGCCAUCGGGUCGAUCAGGUGA
RNAcentral lists this ribosomal RNA (1794 nucleotides) under Triticum aestivum (bread wheat). Its description in RNAcentral is "partial small subunit ribosomal RNA". The record is from RNAcentral. Lineage: Eukaryota; Viridiplantae; Streptophyta; Magnoliopsida; Poales; Poaceae.